UGUGUGUUGUUUUUCAGGCACAUCUUUGACCCACGCUUCUCUCGGCCUCUGCUCAUGGUCGGGGAUAUUGUUCUUGAUCUGUAUCAGCAGGUUCUUCACCAGUCACCUGUAGUCGAGCGGCAGCUGCAGCGUCUUAUGGAGGUGUUGGGUCGGGAAGCAGAACUUCAGCAAGAGCUUCUACAGGUCUUGGGAAUCCUGGACACACUUUUCGCAUCCCUGACCCCCAGAAAAGAGGUCGCAGCCCUUGCUGCCCUACCAGUAGAUCAGGGGCCACAGCUACAAGCCGCCUGACACUCAUUACAAAACACUCGUGACACAACCGAAACAUGCUGGACGUUGGCGUGGUGAAAAAAGGAAAGGGAAAACGGAAGGAAACAAACAUGAGAGGCAGCUGUGGGAAAAAACGUUGCCCAAUGUCACUGAAUAAUCUUUGUGUCAGUGUGUCCUCUGUUUCUGCUGAUGUUUGCAGAAUUUGAAACUGUAUUUUGUACAUUCUUAUCAUAAAAUCUUCAAAUCUAUGUGUUUUGGUUUAUUUCUUUCUGUAAUAAUAAAACAAAUGUCAAUUGCAA
This is a long non-coding RNA of Sinocyclocheilus rhinocerous, 569 nucleotides long. RefSeq lists it as uncharacterized. Lineage: Eukaryota; Metazoa; Chordata; Actinopteri; Cypriniformes; Cyprinidae. The transcript has 2 exons. The record is from RefSeq and is a predicted model, not a curated record.